GAAAAAUCCGUACGGAUGAUAGGUUUUAUGCUCUUUUUCCUCUGAGUAUAUUUACUUUAAGAUAUCUUUUCUUUAUUGACACUCUUAAUAAAACAAUUUAAAUAGUAUAAAAGUAUAUUUCGGUCCAGUUAUGGAUGACAAGAACAUUUCUAAUGAGAUCUGAACAGGAAGAGGUCAGGUGCAGUAACGUGUGGGUUAAAGCACUUCCUCUACACAAAGUGUAGUAAGACAGACUGUGUAAACAAGUAAUGAUUCAUUGUCUUUUAUCUGGAUGAAAGGAGCUAAUUUAGUUAUAAAUUCUAUGCACUUCAUUUUUGAGGAAAUAACUGAUUCUAUGAUGAUCUCUGAUGCUUUUCUGCCAGUUUGCUGCUGUUUGAACCCUUGGAAGGUAUUAGUCUGAAUAAAUCACAGCUCAGACUUUGCUAUAUGUGGUUUGCUUUUAUUUCGAUUUUUUUCUUCUUUCAAGGAUGGAAAGUAGAUCUUUAUAAAGGAGUCUCACGGAGAAAAAAUAAAUUAAUUCUUUUCAAGGCAAUCUAUCUGAUUUGAGCUGUUCAUUUAAUAGAGAGAGAAGUGAGAUUGAAAACAAAAUCUCCAAAGGCUGGUUCUGGUAGAACAAGAAGCUUGUCCAGGCGGAGUUGAUUAAGCAGUGACGAUGAAAGAGACAGGGAUGUUUAUGGAAAAGCCACCAAGAACAUGCAUAUUGAGUCCUUUCUACAUUUACAUUCAUUUGCAGUCAGAGGCUGCUUCUGCAACGUGAGUGUCGGAGCUCACCGCGUGGGAGCGAGCGCCGUGGCGUGCUUAUGUGCAGAAGCACUCACGGGCCAGGUCCUUCCUUGUACAGAAAUGCAUUUGGCAAAAGCUCUGCAAAAACCAGCCGUGGAGGGACAUUCUGAGAUCGGAGCAAGGCCAGGGAUCUCCGCACAAAGGGCUCGAGGUGCUGAGGAAAGGCAGAUUUCAUGGGGGUUUAUCACCAUGUCCCUCUCAGGUUCUGCUCAAUUUAGCUUUACGCAAGGCAGGGUUGACUUCACCAUGAUUUCGCGUGAAUUGGGGCUGUUCAGACUGAGUCAGAGGACAAAGUCCUGGUGAGGCACCCUGGGGCUGCCCAUGCAGCCACUCUGAAUUCACCCGCGGAGCCGAGGACCUGCGCGAGCUCCUUGCAGUGCUUGGCAGGCAUGGUGGCAGGGCAGGUCCCCAAGGGCACCCCGCUGCCUCAGACGUGACAUCUGGUUGCACUGCUCUUG
RNAcentral lists this long non-coding RNA (1241 nucleotides) under Struthio camelus australis. Its description in RNAcentral is "lncRNA (ENSSCUG00000008135.1)". Lineage: Eukaryota; Metazoa; Chordata; Aves; Struthioniformes; Struthionidae. The record is from RNAcentral.